RNAcentral lists this ribosomal RNA (731 nucleotides) under uncultured bacterium. Its description in RNAcentral is "bacterial SSU rRNA". It matches the Rfam family "Bacterial small subunit ribosomal RNA", at positions 773 to 1502 of the family's 1533-position model. The record is from RNAcentral.
CAGGAUUAGAUACCCUGGUAGUCCACGCCGUAAACGAUGUCGACUUGGAGGUUGUGCCCUUGAGGCGUGGCUUCCGGAGCUAACGCGUUAAGUCGACCGCCUGGGGAGUACGGCCGCAAGGUUAAAACUCAAAUGAAUUGACGGGGGCCCGCACAAGCGGUGGAGCACGUGGUUUAAUUCGAUGCAACGCGAAGAACCUUACCUGGUCUUGACAUCCACAGAACUUUCCAGAGAUGGAUUGGUGCCUUCGGGAACUGUGAGACAGGUGCUGCAUGGCUGUCGUCAGCUCGUGUUGUGAAAUGUUGGGUUAAGUCCCGCAACGAGCGCAACCCUUAUCCUUUGUUGCCAGCGGUCCGGCCGGGAACUCAAAGGAGACUGCCAGUGAUAAACUGGAGGAAGGUGGGGAUGACGUCAAGUCAUCAUGGCCCUUACGACCAGGGCUACACACGUGCUACAAUGGCGCAUACAAAGAGAAGCGACCUCGCGAGAGCAAGCGGACCUCAUAAAGUGCGUCGUAGUCCGGAUUGGAGUCUGCAACUCGACUCCAUGAAGUCGGAAUCGCUAGUAAUCGUGGAUCAGAAUGCCACGGUGAAUACGUUCCCGGGCCUUGUACACACCGCCCGUCACACCAUGGGGAGUGGGUUGCAAAAGAAGUAGGUAGCUUAACCUUCGGGAGGGCGCUUACCACUUUGUGAUUCAUGACUGGGGGUGAAGUCGUAACAAGGUAACCA